Molecule: non-coding RNA, 240 nt
Organism: Vicia faba (fava bean)
Lineage: Eukaryota; Viridiplantae; Streptophyta; Magnoliopsida; Fabales; Fabaceae
Source: the annotation of a GenBank genome assembly
AUGCCGCAAACAAAUGCUUUCUCGUGGAACACCCUCAUCGAAGCCCACGUCAACUCAGGCAACAGAAACAAGUCACUGCAAUUGUUUAAUGCCAUGACACACAAAACCCACUAUUCCUGGAACCUUCUUGUUUCAACGUUUUCCAAAUCUGGUGACCUUCAACUAGCUCACACCCUCUUCAACGCCAUGCCUCUAAAGAACCCCCCUUGUCUGGAAUUCCAUCAUUCACGGUUAUUCUAG